GGAUGAGCUAAACUCAAGCCUAGCUAUUAAAAUCUUAGGCCACAUUUACUUUGAAGUAAAAUCUGUAUUUCAUUGAUUAAUUGAUUGAUUUAAUAUUGAUGCACGAGAAAUGAAACAAUAUAGAUAUUAAAUAGCAAAAUCACACAUUUUUCUUAAAUUUUCAUAUUAAUACAUUUUAUUUUAAAUAUAGAUAUUUUAUAAUUAUUACAUAUAUA
This 215-nucleotide unclassified non-coding RNA is filed under the name Hevea brasiliensis (rubber tree). The record is from RNAcentral. Lineage: Eukaryota; Viridiplantae; Streptophyta; Magnoliopsida; Malpighiales; Euphorbiaceae.